RNAcentral lists this ribosomal RNA (390 nucleotides) under Ranitomeya ventrimaculata (Amazonian poison frog). Its description in RNAcentral is "partial 16S ribosomal RNA". It matches the Rfam family "Bacterial large subunit ribosomal RNA", at positions 1957 to 2493 of the family's 2925-position model. The record is from RNAcentral. Lineage: Eukaryota; Metazoa; Chordata; Amphibia; Anura; Dendrobatidae.
UAGCGUAAUCACUUGUUCUUUAAUUGGGGACUAGUAUGAACGGCCCCACGAGGACUACACUGUCUCCUUUUUCUAAUCAAUGAAACUGAUCUCCUCGUGAAGAAGCGAGGAUAAAUAUAUAAGACGAGAAGACCCUAUGGAGCUUCAAACAACUGGGAUACUUGCUAAUUCUUUAAUCUAUUUCCUGAAAACUAAACAAAUUAAAGCAUCUUACCCCCUAGUUUUAGGUUGGGGUGACCACGGAGAAAAAAUUAUCCUCCACGCUGUAAGAAGCCUCCCAUCUUCUAAGCUAAGAGCCACAUCUCUAAGCAUCAACACAUUGACUCCCAUUGACCCAAUAAUUUGAUCAACGAACCAAGUUACCCUAGGGAUAACAGCGCAAUCUACUUU